This 216-nucleotide ribosomal RNA is filed under the name Glomeromycotina sp. RNAcentral describes it as "partial small subunit ribosomal RNA". The stretch from base 40 to 216 matches the Rfam family "Eukaryotic small subunit ribosomal RNA", at positions 686 to 864 of the family's 1831-position model. The record is from RNAcentral. Lineage: Eukaryota; Fungi; Glomeromycota.
GAGUCAGUAGGUUGGUCGUGCCACCGGUACGUACUGGUCUCACUGAUUCCUCCUUCCUGAAGAACCGUAAUGCCAUUAAUUUGGUGUUGCGGGGAAACAGGACUGUUACUUUGAAAAAAUUAGAGUGUUUAAAGCAAGCUAUCGCUUGAAUACAUUAGCAUGGAAUAAUGAAAUAGGACGAUCGAUCCUAUUUUGUUGGUUUCUAGGAUUGACGUA